AUGGCAAGGGCGGAAGGCUACCAUGCAGUCGAGCGGUAGCACAGAGAGGCUUGCUCCUCGGGUGACGAGCGGCGGACGGGUGAGUAAUGUCUGGGAAACUGCCUGAUGGAGGGGGAUAACUACUGGAAACGGUAGCUAAUACCGCAUAACGUCGCAAGACCAAAGUGGGGGACCUUCGGGCCUCAUGCCAUCAGAUGUGCCCAGAUGGGAUUAGCUAGUAGGUGGGGUAACGGCUCACCUAGGCGACGAUCCCUAGCUGGUCUGAGAGGAUGACCAGCCACACUGGAACUGAGACACGGUCCAGACUCCUACGGGAGGCAGCAGUGGGGAAUAUUGCACAAUGGGCGCAAGCCUGAUGCAGCCAUGCCGCGUGUGUGAAGAAGGCCUUCGGGUUGUAAAGCACUUUCAGCGGGGAGGAAGGCGAUAAGGUUAAUAACCUUGUCGAUUGACGUUACCCGCAGAAGAAGCACCGGCUAACUCCGUGCCAGCAGCCGCGGUAAUACGGAGGGUGCAAGCGUUAAUCGGAAUUACUGGGCGUAAAGCGCACGCAGGCGGUCUGUCAAGUCGGAUGUGAAAUCCCCGGGCUCAACCUGGGAACUGCAUUCGAAACUGGCAGGCUAGAGUCUUGUAGAGGGGGGUAGAAUUCCAGGUGUAGCGGUGAAAUGCGUAGAGAUCUGGAGGAAUACCGGUGGCGAAGGCGGCCCCCUGGACAAAGACUGACGCUCAGGUGCGAAAGCGUGGGGAGCAAACAGGAUUAGAUACCCUGGUAGUCCACGCCGUAAACGAUGUCGAUUUGGAAGGUUGUGCCCUUGGAGGCGUGGCUUUCCGGAGCUAACGCGUUUAAAUCGACCGCCCUGGGGGAGUACGGCCGGCAAGGUUAAAACUCAAAUGAAUUUGACGGGGGGCCCGCCACAAGCCGGUGGAACCAUGUUGGUUUAAAUUCCGAUGCCAACGGCGAAGAAACCUUACCCUGGGUCUUGAAAUUCCACCGAAGCUUUUCCAGAAAAUGGAAUUGGGUGCCUUUCGGGAAACUUGUGAAAACAGGGUGCCUGCAUUGGCCUGUUCAUCAGCCUCCGUGUUUGUGGAAAUUGUUAGGGUUUAAAGUCCCCUGCAACCCAGGGCGCAAACCCUUGAUUCCUUUUGUUUGCCAAGCGGGUUUAGUGCCCGGGCAACCUCCAAAAGGAAUAACUUGCCCAGUGGUAUUAACCUCGGGAAGG
This 1217-nucleotide ribosomal RNA is filed under the name Klebsiella pneumoniae. Its description in RNAcentral is "bacterial SSU rRNA". It matches the Rfam family "Bacterial small subunit ribosomal RNA", at positions 32 to 1173 of the family's 1533-position model. The record is from RNAcentral. Lineage: Bacteria; Pseudomonadati; Pseudomonadota; Gammaproteobacteria; Enterobacterales; Enterobacteriaceae.